CCUACGGGUGGCUGCAGUGGGGAAUAUUGGACAAUGGGCGAAAGCCUGAUCCAGCAAUGCCGCGUGAGUGAUGAAGGCCUUAGGGUUGUAAAGCUCUUUUACCCGGGAUGAUAAUGACAGUACCGGGAGAAUAAGCCCCGGCUAACUCCGUGCCAGCAGCCGCGGUAAUACGGAGGGGGCUAGCGUUGUUCGGAAUUACUGGGCGUAAAGCGCACGUAGGCGGCUUUGUAAGUUAGAGGUGAAAGCCUGGAGCUCAACUCCAGAAUUGCCUUUAAGACUGCAUCGCUUGAAUCCAGGAGAGGUGAGUGGAAUUCCGAGUGUAGAGGUGAAAUUCGUAGAUAUUCGGAAGAACACCAGUGGCGAAGGCGGCUCACUGGACCGGUAUUGACGCUGAGGUGCGAAAGCGUGGGGAGCAAACAGGAUUAGAUACCCUUGUAGUC
Molecule: ribosomal RNA, 440 nt
Filed under: Salmonella enterica subsp. enterica
Lineage: Bacteria; Pseudomonadati; Pseudomonadota; Gammaproteobacteria; Enterobacterales; Enterobacteriaceae
Description: bacterial SSU rRNA
Rfam family: Bacterial small subunit ribosomal RNA
Source: RNAcentral